AUUGAACGCUGGCGGCAGGCCUAACACAUGCAAGUCGAGCGGAUGAAGGGAGCUUGCUCCUGGAUUCAGCGGCGGACGGGUGAGUAAUGCCUAGUAAUCUGCCUGGUAGUGGGGGAUAACGUCCGGAAACGGGCGCUAAUACCGCAUACGUCCUGAGGGAGAAAGUGGGGGAUCUUCGGACCUCACGCUAUCAGAUGAUCCUAGGUCGGAUUAGCUAGUUGGUGGGGUAAAGGCCUACCAAGGCGACGAUCCGUAACUGGUCUGAGAGGAUGAUCAGUCACACUGGAACUGAGACACGGUCCAGACUCCUACGGGAGGCAGCAGUGGGGAAUAUUGGACAAUGGGCGAAAGCCUGAUCCAGCCAUGCCGCGUGUGUGAAGAAGGUCUUCGGAUUGGAAAGCACUUUAAGUUGGGAGGAAGGGAAGUAAGUUAAUACCUUGCUGUUUUGACGUUACCAACAGAAUAAGCACCGGCUAACUUCGUG
RNAcentral lists this ribosomal RNA (484 nucleotides) under uncultured bacterium. RNAcentral's name for it is "partial 16S ribosomal RNA". It matches the Rfam family "Bacterial small subunit ribosomal RNA", at positions 30 to 507 of the family's 1533-position model. The record is from RNAcentral.